CUUUCUGUCAAAACCCUAAUCAAUCUCGCCCCUUAUAAAUAUCAUUCCAAAAGAAAACCCUAAUUAUGCAAAAGUGCCAUUUCUUGUUUUCCCGGCGCAACAAAAUGUCGAAGCCAGGACGAAUUGGUUAUGCUGGAAAUAAGUUCAGAAUAUCACUCAGUCUGGUGAGCUGUGGAGAUGAUAGGCUAAUAAUUUUUAUGAUCUAAAGAUUAUUAGUCUACCGCUGACACAGCUCACCACAGCUACCCUAGCAGGCUACCCUAGCAGACUGAGUGACAAGCUUUGCCUCAGCAGAAGGCAACAACAACACCCAUACCAGACAGAAACUUAUAAUAGAGAACCAGGAGUUGUUACCCAGACAUUAGUAAGGUGUCCUGAUCAACAAACUAUGGUUGAUACAGUUACAGGUCUGCGAUGACCUUUUUGUCAUGUUUACAUCUGCUUGGGGCUCUACAGUCAUGUCAGCAAGCUCCAAUGGUGGAAACCUAUCAGAACAACUUCUUUCCAAGAACCCCUGCUGUAACCCCCAUUGGCUUAAUAUGGGAGAGAUGAGCUUCUGGACUAUCAAUUUUCUUAGAGGCAUGGCUCUGGUGUAUUAUUUUCAAUCCUGGGCUUAUGACAUUUUUAUCAACAAUAUUCUCUUAAUACAAUUAUCCAUUUCAUGCUUCUUCUUUUUGGGUAAUUUUGAGCCUUGAAUUGCAUACCAGAUUUUUGUACCAAUUAUUUUCAUAUUUGACCCACUUUCUGUUUGUUCUGGAAUAAUGGUCAGAAGGGAGACAGUGAUGUUGUUUUCAUCUUUUAGUUCAGAAAAUAGACAUUAGUAAGAGCCUUAGUCCUGGCAAGGUAAUUCAGUGAUGUUGUCAAAAUAUCAUUAUCCUUUAUACGAUGUUGUCAAAGUAUCAUUAUCCUUUAUACAAAUGCUGAUGAUGCAGCCAUGGUGAGGCUCUUCUCUUCUGUCUCUUGCCUGUGUAAAGAUGAAUCUGAGUCUCUUUUCUGAAACCCUGCUAUUAGGGUUAUACUCAUGAGUCAUUAGUUUAAGUAUGAGGCUCCACUCUUUGAGAGAAGGUUGUCUUGAUAGCUGUUGCCCUCUUGAAGUUGGUUAGCCAAUGAUCAUUAUAAUUGAAUUUCCAAACAGCUCUCCACAUACAUACACGCACACAAACAUGUAUUUCUUUCUGCUUCUAUUGGGAAAACAACAGCAACUACUUCUUCUUCUUCUUCUUCUUGCUAUUACGAGGCAAUGAUGAUGUUUUCUGCAAUUAAAUCAGAUAUGAGUGAAGAGCUGUGUCCUGGCUAGGUGACUCGGUGUCUGUGUGAAAUUGACCUUCUGGUUGCACAGAUGCUAUUGACGCAGCCUGUGCACAAGCCAUUCCUUUGCUGUCUGAAAAAAGGCGAAUCUGAGCCUCCUUUAUUCAUAAUAAUUUUAACUUUCUGACAUAAUUAUAAAUUUGUAUUUUUCUUCUGAAUGCUUUAAUAUGGCAGGUUAUAGGAACACAUUCAUUGUUCACCCAUAUAACCGAAGCUUUUUAUUGCACCAAUGUUUCUGCAUUUGUAUGUGACUUGGGGAGUGUGGCUGAAAAGUGACCUUUUUGAGCAUUUGAUACUUCUACCCUCGGUGAAGAAUCAGUAUGCAUCAUGGCAGUUACCGGAAGUAAUCUUUAUUGGUUUACUCAUCGAGAUGAGGUUCAAAUAAUUAAACAAGUGAUUCUUCACUUUUCUUCAUUUUCAUUUCCCUCCUGUAGUUGUUCUAUAGUGAUGCACAUGGUUAAUCCAAAUAUAUUUAAAUUAACUUGCGUUUUGGUCAAAUAGGAUUCAUGAGGAACCUAUUUGCUCCAUUAAUAUGCAUCUGAUUCAAGUUGAUUCUUUCAAAGGGAGAGAAAUGAGAGGACUUGCUUGCUAAUUUUUUGGUUUUAAACUCUUCUGCAAUCUUGAAAAGGAUGUGUUGUUUUAGAACCUGAGGCUGAUUUUUGUCCUAGAACUGCAAGGUCGCCAAUCAUUGUUCAAUUGUUCAAUUUUUGAAUCAAUUUUAGGCAGGGGGAACGUUUGCUGUUCAUGAAACUUUUUUAAUGAAAGUAGUGGCGAUGCAGCCUAAAAAGGAUUAUGAUGACAUA
This is a long non-coding RNA of Vigna radiata var. radiata (mung bean), 2111 nucleotides long. RefSeq lists it as uncharacterized. The record is from RefSeq and is a predicted model, not a curated record. The transcript is spliced from 5 exons. NCBI's taxonomy places the organism in Eukaryota, Viridiplantae, Streptophyta, Magnoliopsida, Fabales, Fabaceae.